Dreissena polymorpha is the source of this 1452-nucleotide long non-coding RNA. RefSeq lists it as uncharacterized. The record is from RefSeq and is a predicted model, not a curated record. The transcript is spliced from 3 exons. Lineage: Eukaryota; Metazoa; Mollusca; Bivalvia; Myida; Dreissenidae.
UGCUGUAGUAAUUAAAAUAGUAGUUCUGCAGAAGUAGGAGUAGUUGUUACUUUCAAAGCAAUUUCUACAAGUUUAAAUUCCUUAACCCUGUCCAAGUGGUAUACACACUGUUUUUUCUCAAUAUCAAACUCAGCCAGUCCAGGUUGUCAAAUAACAAUCUAUCUGAUAAGCCAAGCAUGUGUUGUACAUCAGAUGUUGGGUAUGUUUGCUGCAAAUCUAUUGGUUAUAAGAUAUAACAGCCUUUUCUAAUUGGCUGAAUUCAAAUACAGAAAGUUUACCUGUUAGAUUGAAACAUGAAACAUGGUGGACAAUGUACUGGUUUAACUUGUUAAAAUAAAGUUAAAGAAAUUUAACAAACAGAAGAGUUCAUUAGAUUUUCCAUUAAAAACACUUUCUUAAAAUACUUAUGUAUUUAUAUCAUUUGGAAAGUGACAUGAAAUAUUGCUAAAGAGUGAUGCAUACAGUGUUUGAGCAGUCUGUCUAGGAAUAGAACAACAACUGAAGUUGAUGGAAGAUACUGCAGAGUUUGGCAGGGAAAUAAUCCAACAGCAAAGCGGCUCUUUAAGCGCAUUUACCUAGAGGACUUACAGGGCCACAAAUUCAUGAGCACAUGUGAGCAGUAUACAAUGUACCUCAUACCAAAAAGGACCCGGAGGCAGUGACUGGUGUUCAAUAUUCUCAGAAGAAAAGGAAAAUGGCAGUGGAAGACUUGGACAAACAUUUUUAAAAACUAGCCUCUGUGUUAAGCCUGGCAGUCUGUGGCUGGUGACAUGUUUUAAUUUGGUUACUUCUUGUAUAAAAAAGACCAGUUAUUUAUUUUGUUAAUUGUAUUUUGUGUUUGUUUUUUGUCUUAAUUUAUUUGUUUGUUUUUUUAAUUUAGGAAUUUGAAACUUGGAUAAUUGAAUUAAGUCCGUGUUCAACAGUACUGAGCAUAGUAUAAUAAAUAACAAAUUUACAACAGUUGUUAAUUUGUUUUGUAUUAUUAUUAAGUAUGCUCAGUACUUGAAUACUGGCUGUCUGCAUGGGAAUUUGUUUUCUAGAAAGUUGGUUUCAGACUUAAAUAUUUGAAGUUAACCUUCGAAACUUUUCUAGAAUUGUACUGGAACACAUCAACUAGAACUGAACUUCUGUUAUCAUACUGAAAGUGUUCUAGAAUUAAUAAGGAACAGUUGUUGAACGUUAAAAUUUAUGAGAAAAAACUCUAGAACAAUUGUGCGUGAUGUGUGUGUGCAUGUAAUUGUGUGUGUUUAUGAACAUAUGUGAGAAAGGAAGUAUACUUGUCAUAAGAGAAAUGUAAAAUUCUACUUCUAUGUUUUAUAUUGUUCCUUGUAUAAGUUUUUCUUUUCUCACCUGUAUAUGGAUGUGUUUUUGAAUGUGUGCAUGCAUGCCUGUGGUUAAGAGAGUUGGUACUUUAUGAAAAUGUAAAUGAUUGAUGCCAGAUCUUUUCCUUGA